Molecule: ribosomal RNA, 497 nt
Filed under: uncultured bacterium
Lineage: Bacteria
Description: partial 16S ribosomal RNA
Rfam family: Bacterial small subunit ribosomal RNA
Source: RNAcentral
GAUGAACGCUGGCGGCGUGCCUAAUACAUGCAAGUCGAGCGAACAGACGAGGAGCUUGCUCCUCUGACGUUAGCGGCGGACGGGUGAGUAACACGUGGAUAACCUACCUAUAAGACUGGGAUAACUUCGGGAAACCGGAGCUAAUACCGGAUAAUAUAUUGAACCGCAUGGUUCAAUAGUGAAAGACGGUUUUGCUGUCACUUAUAGAUGGAUCCGCGCCGCAUUAGCUAGUUGGUAAGGUAACGGCUUACCAAGGCAACGAUGCGUAGCCGACCUGAGAGGGGGAUCGGCCACACUGGAACUGAGACACGGUCCAGACUCCUGCGGGAGGCAGCAGUAGGGAAUCUUCCGCAAUGGGCGAAAGCCUGACGGAGCAACGCCGCGUGAGUGAUGAAGGUCUUCGGAUCGUAAAACUCUGUUAUUAGGGAAGAACAAAUGUGUAAGUAACUAUGCACGUCUUGACGGUACCUAAUCAGAAAGCCACGGCUAACUACGUG